AUGGGGGAAGCGGCGAAAGGGGCAGUAAUGUAUGGACAACCUACCUCGGGGAUGGGGAUAGCCUUCCUAACGGAUGGGUAAUACCCGGCGAGGUGGCGGCGGGGCAUCCCGCCUCCACGAAAGAGUUUCGCCUCGAGAGGGGUCCAUAUCGUAUUAGCUAGUUGGCGGGGUAACGGCCCACCAAGGCGAAGAUGCGUAGCGGGUGUGAGAGCACGACCCGCGCCACUGGCACUGAGACACUGGCCAGACACCUACGGGUGGCUGCAGUCGAGGAUCUUCGUCAAUGGACGCAAGUCUGAACGAGCGAUGCCGCGUGGACGACGAAGGCCUUCGGGUUGUAAAGUCCGAAAGCGGGAAUAAAGGCGCAAGCUUGAUAGAACCGCAGUAAGCUCGGGCUAAGUUCGUGCCAGUAGCCGCGGUAAGACGAACCGAGCGAACGUUGUUCGGAAUCACUGGGCUUAAAGGGCGCGUAGGCGGGCAUUCAAGUCCGAGGUGAAAUACUCCGGCUCAACCGGAGAACUGCCUCGGAUACUGAGUGUCUCGAGUGAGGUAGGGGCGGGCGGAACUAUGGGUGGAGCGGUGAAAUGCGUUGAUAUCCAUGGGAACUCCGGUGGCGAAGGCGGCCCGCUGGACCUCUACUGACGCUGAGGCGCGAAAGCCAGGGGAGCAAACGGGAUUAGAUACCCCGGUAGUCCUGGCCCUAAACGUUGGGUACUGGAUAGUAGUCUUCACAUGGGAUUACUGUCGCAGCGAAAGUGCUAAGUACCCCGCCUGGGGAGUAUGGCCGCAAGGCUGAAACUCGAAGGAAUUGACGGGGGCUCACACAAGCGGUGGAGCAUGUGGCUUAAUUCGAGGCUACGCGAAGAACCUUAUCCUAGACUUGACAUGUGCGAAAGCGUCUGCAGGUAGAACCCGGAAACGGGAACGAACGGUAUCCAAUCCGGAAGCAGAUACAGGUGCUGCAUGGCUGUCGUCAGCUCGUGUCGUGAGAUGUCGGGUUAAGUCCCAUAACGAGCGAAACCCUUACUCCAUAGUUACUACGGGUCAUGCCGAGGACUCUAGGAGGACUGCCGGUGUUAAACCGGAGGAAGGCGGGGAUGACGUCAAGUCCUCAUGGCCUUUACGUCUAGGGCUGCACACGUGCUACAAUGGCGCGAACAAAGAGACGCAAACCCGCGAGGGGGAGCAAAUCUCAAAAAGCGCGCCCCAGUUCAGAUCGAAGGCUGCAACUCGCCUUCGUGAAGUUGGAAUCGCUAGUAAUCGCGGGUCAGCAACACCGCGGUGAAUGUGUUCCUGAGCCUUGUACACACCGCCCGU
RNAcentral lists this ribosomal RNA (1317 nucleotides) under uncultured bacterium. Its description in RNAcentral is "bacterial SSU rRNA". It matches the Rfam family "Bacterial small subunit ribosomal RNA", at positions 86 to 1397 of the family's 1533-position model. The record is from RNAcentral.